UUGCUUGCAUUAGGGCCCGGAAAGCGGCGAAAGGGAGAGUAACGCGUGGAUUAUCUACCCCCGGAUCCGGGAUAGCUGUGGGAAACUACAGGUAAUACCGGAUAACGUCUCCGGACCAAAGGUGUGAUUCCGUCUGGGGAUGAGUCCGCGUCCUACUAGCUAGUUGGUGGGGUAACGGCCUACCAAGGCAAUGAUGGGUACCGGGUGUGAGAGCAUGGCCCGGCUCACUGGGACUGAGACACUGCCCAGACACCUACGGGUGGCUGCAGUCGAGAAUCUUCCGCAAUGGGCGCAAGCCUGACGGAGCGACGCCGCGUGCGGGAUGAAGGCCUUCGGGUUGUAAAUCGCUGUCAGUUGGGAGGAAAUGCUAUAGGGUACUCUCUAUAGUUUGACCGAUCUUCAGAGGAAGUCCGGGCUAAGUUCGUGCCAGCAGCCGCGGUAAGACGAACCGGACGAACGUUAUUCGGAAUCACUGGGCUUAAAGAGUGCGUAGGCGGCUUUGUAGGUGAGGUGUGAAAUCCCACGGCUCAACCGUGGAACUGCGCUUCAAACCACAAAGCUUGAGGGAGGCAGAGGUAAGCGGAACUGAUGGUGGAGCGGUGAAAUGCGUUGAUAUCAUCAGGAACACCAGUGGCGAAGGCGGCUUACUGGGCCUUUUCUGACGCUGAGGCACGAAAGCUAGGGUAGCGAACGGGAUUAGAUACCCCGGUAGUCCUAGCUGUAAACGAUGAGCACUUGGUCGAGGAGACUUCCACAUCUUCUCGGCCGUAGCGAAAGUGUUAAGUGCUCCGCCUGGGGAGUAUGGUCGC
RNAcentral lists this ribosomal RNA (809 nucleotides) under uncultured Planctomycetota bacterium. Its description in RNAcentral is "bacterial SSU rRNA". It matches the Rfam family "Bacterial small subunit ribosomal RNA", at positions 76 to 889 of the family's 1533-position model. The record is from RNAcentral. Lineage: Bacteria; Pseudomonadati; Planctomycetota.